GGACUUCAUGCGCAAAUAUAAUCCAGAAACUUUCUCUUCUGGUCCCAGGAACCAGAAGACUGUCGUGAGGAGGCCUUGUCUGGCACUGAUUCUUCUCUCCCUGGAGCCUCACACAAUAGGUCAAUCUCUACUUGGUGGAGGCCCCUUAGGGAUCAUGGCCAGCUUGCACAGAUUAAGGUUCCUGGAUUACUGCUUUAAUUUUUGUAUAUGGAACACAGCUAGAGAGUGGGAAGGAUUGCUCUGAAGCAG
Non-coding RNA from Struthio camelus australis, 249 nucleotides. NCBI's taxonomy places the organism in Eukaryota, Metazoa, Chordata, Aves, Struthioniformes, Struthionidae. The record is from RefSeq and is a predicted model, not a curated record.